AGUGGCGCACGGGUGAGUAAUUUAUAGAUAACGUACCUCUUAGUCUGGGAUAGCCAUUGGAAACGAUGAUUAAUACUAGAUACUCCUUCUCCUUCUAAUGGGAGUCGGGAAAGUUUUUUCGCUAAGAGAUCGGUCUAUAUCCCAUCAGUUAGUUGGUAGGGUAAUGGCCUACCAAGACAAUGACGGGUAGCGGGUUUGAGAGGAUGAUCCGCCACACUGGUACUGAGACACGGACCAG
Molecule: ribosomal RNA, 238 nt
Filed under: uncultured bacterium
Lineage: Bacteria
Description: partial 16S ribosomal RNA
Rfam family: Bacterial small subunit ribosomal RNA
Source: RNAcentral